GAACGGUAACAGGUCUUCGGAUGCUGACGAGUGGCGAACGGGUGAGUAAUACAUCGGAACGUGCCUAGUAGUGGGGGAUAACUACUCGAAAGAGUAGCUAAUACUGCAUGAGAUCUACGGAUGAAAGCGGGGGACCUUCGGGCCUUGUGCUACUAGAGCGGCUGAUGGCAGAUUAGGUAGUUGGUGGGGUAAAGGCUUACCAAGCCUGCGAUCUGUAGCUGGUCUGAGAGGACGACCAGCCACACUGGGACUGAGACACGGCCCAGACUCCUACGGGAGGCAGCAGUGGGGAAUUUUGGACAAUGGGCGAAAGCCUGAUCCAGCAAUGCCGCGUGCAGGGUGAAGGCCCUCGGGUUGUAAACUGCUUUUGUACGGAACGAAAAGCCUGGGGCUAAUACCCCCGGGUCAUGACGGUACCGUAAGAAUAAGCACCGGCUAACUACGUGCCAGCAGCCGCGGUAAUACGUAGGGUGCAAGCGUUAAUCGGAAUUACUGGGCGUAAAGCGUGCGCAGGCGGUUUUGUAAGACAGUGGUGAAAUCCCCGGGCUCAACCUGGGAACUGCCAUUGUGACUGCAAGGCUAGAGUGCGGCAGAGGGGGAUGGAAUUCCGCGUGUAGCAGUGAAAUGCGUAGAUAUGCGGAGGAACACCGAUGGCGAAGGCAAUCCCCUGGGCCUGCACUGACGCUCAUGCACGAAAGCGUGGGGAGCAAACAGGAUUAGAUACCCUGGUAGUCCACGCCCUAAACGAUGUCAACUGGUUGUUGGGUCUUAACUGACUCAGUAACGAAGCUAACGCGUGAAGUUGACCGCCUGGG
RNAcentral lists this ribosomal RNA (815 nucleotides) under uncultured Comamonas sp. RNAcentral's name for it is "bacterial SSU rRNA". It matches the Rfam family "Bacterial small subunit ribosomal RNA", at positions 64 to 877 of the family's 1533-position model. Lineage: Bacteria; Pseudomonadati; Pseudomonadota; Betaproteobacteria; Burkholderiales; Comamonadaceae. The record is from RNAcentral.